Molecule: transfer RNA, 71 nt
Filed under: Marmota monax (woodchuck)
Lineage: Eukaryota; Metazoa; Chordata; Mammalia; Rodentia; Sciuridae
Description: tRNA.Ala
Rfam family: tRNA
About the family: Transfer RNA (tRNA) molecules are approximately 80 nucleotides in length.
Source: RNAcentral
GGGGUUGUGGCUCAGUGGUAGAGUGCUCACCUAGCAUGUGAGAGGUCCUGGGUUUGAUCCUCAGUACCACA